UUUUUAAACUAAAUCCAGUGUUCAAAUCUGUGUUUCUAUUUUCGUUAUCUAAUGCCGGCCAGUUAAUUAUACGUCAGCUUGUACACCUAAAUUCGGCCAAUCAUAUUGCGUCAAUCAUUUUUUUGGGUCAUAGCAUCUUGAUUCAUAUGUCGCAGCUUAUAUACGCAACGGUUAAUAAUUCACCCGGAACCUUCUAAAGACGUCGAGGCGAGGGGUACACUUCAGGACCAGCCGUACACUCGGCUACACACCCAGCUGUAAUGGAGCCUCUCUGUUGUGUGCCCAAAUCUCAAAGAGAAAAAAAAUCCUACUGUGGACACUGGACAGACUUUCCACCGUUUCCUCAAAGGGCAGGCACUUCGGCGUGAAUGGAUAAAUCACAUCCAGAGGGAAUCUGGUCCAUAUUUCAAGAUCAACGCUGAGACCAAGGUUUGCUCUGAACACUUUGAGAAGCAGUGCUUUGUGAAGACCGCCUGUGGAAUCACAAAGCUUAUAAAGCAUGCUGUGCCAACCUUGUUCGUCUGGACUUCAGAGAGGCCAAAGAUGAGAAUCAUCAUUCGUAGACCGAGUAUGGAUUCCAUGGAGGUGGAUGAAAACCAGCCUGAUGAGAGAAGGGAUGCCUUGAG
Molecule: long non-coding RNA, 626 nt
Organism: Engraulis encrasicolus (European anchovy)
Lineage: Eukaryota; Metazoa; Chordata; Actinopteri; Clupeiformes; Engraulidae
Exons: 3
Source: RefSeq, a predicted model, not a curated record